UACGGAGGAUGCAAGCGUUAUCCGGAAUUAUUGGGCGUAAAGCGUCCGCAAGUGGCGAUUCAAGUCUGCGGUCAAAGACUGGGGCUUAACCCUGGAAAGGCCGUGGAAACUGAAUAGCUAGAGUGCAGUAGGGGUAGAGGGAAUUCCCGGUGUAGCGGUGAAAUGCGUAGAGCUCGGGAAGAACAUCGGUGGCGAAAGCGCUCUGCUGGACUGCAACUGACACUCAGGGACGAAAGCUAGGGGAGCGAAUGGG
RNAcentral lists this ribosomal RNA (253 nucleotides) under uncultured bacterium. RNAcentral describes it as "partial 16S ribosomal RNA". It matches the Rfam family "Bacterial small subunit ribosomal RNA", at positions 524 to 776 of the family's 1533-position model. The record is from RNAcentral.